RNAcentral lists this ribosomal RNA (491 nucleotides) under uncultured bacterium. RNAcentral's name for it is "partial 16S ribosomal RNA". It matches the Rfam family "Bacterial small subunit ribosomal RNA", at positions 28 to 507 of the family's 1533-position model. The record is from RNAcentral.
GAUGAACGCUAGUUACAGGCUUAACACAUGCAAGUCGAGGGGAAACGACAUUGAAGCUUGCUUCGAUGGUCGUCGACCGGCGCACGGGUGAGUAACGCGUAUCCAACCUGCCUCUGACCAAGGGAUAACCCGUCGAAAGUCGGCCUAAUACCUUAUGCAGUCGUCGGAAGUCAUCUGAUGACGACGAAAGAUUUCAUCGGUGAGAGAUGGGGAUGCGUCUGAUUAGCUUGUUGGCGGGGUAACGGCCCACCAAGGCAACGAUCAGUAGGGGUUCGGAGAGGAAGGUCCCCCACAUUGGAACUGAGACACGGUCCAAAAUGCUACGGGAGGGAGCAGUGAGGAAUAUUGGUCAAGGGGCGAGAGCCUGAACCAGCCAAGUAGCGUGCAGGAGGACGGGCCUAUGGGUGGUAAACUGCUUUUAUGCGGGGAAAAAGUGAGGGACGGGUCCUUUAUUGCAGGUACCGCAUGAAUAAGGAACGGCUAAUUCCGUG